Long non-coding RNA from Erinaceus europaeus (western European hedgehog), 1712 nucleotides. RefSeq lists it as uncharacterized. The record is from RefSeq and is a predicted model, not a curated record. The transcript is spliced from 3 exons. NCBI's taxonomy places the organism in Eukaryota, Metazoa, Chordata, Mammalia, Eulipotyphla, Erinaceidae.
CAUGGCGUGAAGUGCAAGGACCAACACAAGGAUCUGGGUUUGAGCCCCCUGGCUCCCCACCUGCAGGGAGCCGCUUCAUAAGUGGUGAAGCAGGUCUGCAGAUAUCACUUUCUUCCCCUUGCCCCAUCCUCCCUUCCUCUCUCAAUUUCUCCCUGCCCUGUCCAUAAAAUGGGGGGAACCACAAAACUUGAGACUGCUUCUGUGUUGCUUCCUAUCUGCUCUAUGCAAAAAAAAAAAAAAAAAAAAGUCAAAAGAUAACUGUGGCUUUUUUUUUCUGUCACCUAUAUCCCAUCUGUUCUCUUCCUGAUCCUAUAAGCACAAAUUUUCCAAAAUACAAUGGCCUAUUUUAUGUUUUUGUCUACACAGGAAAGCUCAGGAAGAGGGCAAUGCCCAAAGGACUCCCUGGUAACUUCUGCUGGGCACUUGCCACUUGCCACUUGGCAUCUGAUGCAUCUGAUCAGGGGGCUGGGGAAGGGGAGAAUCUUAGAGGACAGGAAAGGAGAAGAAAGCAAAGGAAAAGAAAAGAAAGACAAAGAAGAAAGAAUGAGAAGAAAGAUGCUGUGAUGUCCCCUGAGGAGGCCAGGAGUCAUGGUUAGAGCAGUCACCGCUGGACUCAUAUGAGGGGGGUUAGGAGUGGGUCAGCUUCCCACCCAGCCCCUCCCACAAGGCAGCCAGGUUUGGGUGGAUGUUGAGGGCAGUGCCCCUUCCCUAGCUGGGUCAGAACCAGUGUUUCCUGGGAAUGUGGUAGCUUCAAGAGGCCCAAACCUUUUAACUAGGUCCACACACCCCUCGCUCUGUCUCUUCACUCCAACUUCUCAGUGGAUCCCCUUCUCCUGUCCCCACCCAAGUCCUCUCACCCUCUCACUGUUCUUCCUCAGUGGACCUCCAAGUGCAGGGGAGGAAUCUGAGUGUCUACCCAGCCCUCCUGGGCAUCCCACAGGAAUCUCAGGCAUCUCAUCUGUCCCACCUCUCUUCUGGGGACCAAUUCAGCCUGACCUAGGAGUCCUCACGAGGUGAAAAGCACUUGCAGGCAGGCAGAGAGGCAUUGCCUUAUUUAGCUGUGCCGCCCCCAGCGGAGGCCCAAAAAGGAAGGAAGAGGAGGGGGAUGAAAGGCAGAUAGGAGCAAAAGGAGAAGAAAGCCCAAGGCCUGGGUGAUUCUGGGAAUUCAGGCAAAGAGUAACGUCAUCAGGGAACGUGUCACCGGGUCAGUGGGUGUGGGGAAGGCUGGGUGACUCGGGCCCUGUGACUCAUUUACAAGAGAGGCCGGCCUCCGUAUCCAGAAGUCAUUCACAGAUGCUAUCCAUGGUGCUCCCAUGUGAUUCCAGGGCUCAAACCCAGGACCUCCUGCACAGUAAGCUGCAAGCAAACUCUACCAGACAGAGAAAGGAGUCACCACAGCACUGUCCCACCACCUACAGGGAUUCCCUCAGUGUUCCUAUAGUAAGUAUUUCCACAUGGGACAUGGGCUUGGAACCCAGGUCUGUGAGAAUGCAUUCUACUGGAUGAGUGAUGAUUUCUUGGCCUAGUAUUAGUUUCUUUUCAAGCCUCUCUCUGGGCUGGGAAGACAGAACAGUGGUUAUACAAAAGAUUUUCAUGCCUGAAGCUCUGAGGUUCUAGGUUCAAUCCCCAGCAUCACCAUAAGCCAAAGCUGAGCAGUGCUCUGGUCUUUCUCUCUGUAUCUUUCUCACUCAUUAAAAUAUUAAAAUAAAAUA